Molecule: long non-coding RNA, 1032 nt
Organism: Pieris napi
Lineage: Eukaryota; Metazoa; Arthropoda; Insecta; Lepidoptera; Pieridae
Exons: 2
Source: RefSeq, a predicted model, not a curated record
GGGGACCCGUAAUGGUUUUAGGUUAUAAAUGCAGUUUUAUAGUCCUUGAGAAACUAAAACAUAAGGUGCAAAAAAUUUUGUUCUACGACCAAAACUGACAAAGUUAUGGGCAAAAUACCGAACAAGGUUUUCUGACCGCGCGAAUACAAGCGAUGACGUCACAAUUUCUCAACGCUCGCCGCUGAACCACAGCGCGCCCCGCGCUGUUUAUUCUGUUCGCGAUACUCGUCCAACACGGAGCGUAACGUCACCAGUUUAUACCCAAUCGAUUAAUAAGUGAUUUGAUUUGUUUAAUAUUAGAAGGUUUUAUUAUAAUAUAACAAAUCAAAGGUAGAAACAAGGUAGAUAUCGGUUUUGAGCAAGCGCAAUCCGAUAAUCUACCUAAAUGGUAUUUGAUUAUCUUAGUAAUCAUUUAAACUACACAAGCGCUGAAAUUCGUGGUUGGAAACUUCAGAGGUCAGGGCGUGAAUCAUAUGGUGAUGAAGCUGUGGGAUUUGUUCAAGUGCAAAAAACAGGAGAUAUAUGCACAGUCAAAGCAAAAAUUACACCAAAACAUAAAAUAAAGGGUAAAGCUUAUUGCUGCAUUUACUUGUGAUGAAACACAAGAAAUAAUACUAAACAUUGAGUGUCAUGAUUGUGCUGCUCAACUGGGAGGUUGUAAGCACGGUGUAGCAUUUCUUAUGUGACUUCACAGACGAAGCGAGGAACCAUCCCCAACAGAAAAAAGUGUUAUUGGACUAAGCCUAAAUUAGCUACGGUGGGCACCACUUUAAAAAUUAUAAAGGCUAAAGAUAUGGGAUCAGGCACACCAAAAAAUCAAGAUGACAGUUAUGUUAAAGGUCAAUUUGUAGAAGCUGUAAAAAAACGGUACAAGAAAAAUCUAUAUAUAUCAUAACCAGCUGGCACAACCAGCUGGCGUACCACAAAGCGCGUUAAAAAAAUGUCAUUACAUGUAUUAAUAAGUGAGUUUAGAAAAGAGGGUAUAGAUAUAAACGAUGCAGCUCAUUUUAUUGACUUCUGCUCAAAUCGGAU